Non-coding RNA from Peromyscus maniculatus bairdii (prairie deer mouse), 602 nucleotides. The record is from RefSeq and is a predicted model, not a curated record. Lineage: Eukaryota; Metazoa; Chordata; Mammalia; Rodentia; Cricetidae.
GCCUGCUCAGUCUCAGAAGGCUGGCUCCAGGGGAAACUGCCCUGGGAGAGGUCAAGUGUGACAACAAUGACCACCCAAGUUCAAGCCCCUCUGCUGCGCGUCCCUGACAGGAUCCGGCUGACUAAAGGUGGACGGACUCUAGCACGUGUGUACCCCGUGAAGUGGCACUGUAGUAGCCCCUUGGCCCAGCAUGGUUCCCGUGGCCGGAAGUAGACAGGCUGCACGCCGCUGUCUGACCACGAGACUCCUUCAGAGCCUCCAGAUUGGGCCCAGCAGGAGCAGACCCUGCCUCCAUCCCUCUUUUGGGCUUUUGACUUUGGCUAUCAUCCUACCACAGGGCAUGGGGACACGAAGCCACCUCCAGGAGCAGCCAUUCUGGGAGGCAGAGGAUGCGCUGGUCUGCGGUGCUGGGUCUUUACCAUCACUUCUGCAGCCAUGAACAUGAUUACCUGUACCAUGUGACCUUCAUCACUUCCACCACUGCUGUCACCCCCAUCAUCAUCACACCACCAUCCAUACCACGAUCUUUCCCUCCGUCACCACCUCCACCACCACCUCCAUCACCACCUCCACCACCACCUCCACCACCACCUCCACCACCA